RNAcentral lists this long non-coding RNA (1800 nucleotides) under Mus musculus (house mouse). RNAcentral's name for it is "long non-coding RNA chr11:62221202-62223002". Lineage: Eukaryota; Metazoa; Chordata; Mammalia; Rodentia; Muridae. The record is from RNAcentral.
UGUUGCUCAGAAAGCUAGGACUUGUGCUGCGUCAGCACUGGCUGUGUUGAUGUCAUUGAGGACAGCCCUCACUGUCUCUGGACUUCUGCUCUGCCCAGCGGGGAGAGGGAAGUGCUGUCCCACACAUCUAGGUCCUGGUUCCCCACGGGUGAUCUCCAGCUAUGUAGGGGAGGCCACAGUUAAGGCUUGUAGUUCAGUCUGUCUCUGGCUCUUGUCAGGGUGCUGUCUAGACAUUUAGGAGCUCUCAGCAGAGCAGGCUCCAUGCCAGUCACUGAACACCUUACAGUUCCUUGUAAGUGUAGGCACUUUGGGGCCCAGCCUCCCUGUGAUUGGAAUCCAGUUUGCCUAAGACUGGCCAGCCACAUGUUCUUGUCUUUAUUUUCCUUUGACUUUCUCCUGAUUACUACACUUCUUGCCAGGGAUGUAGAAGAGAAAUGAGAUCAUUCCCAGUAGAAACAGGUACUGCUGGUGAUGGGGGUGAGGCAGAGGGCAGGCAGAUAGCACUCUGCUCUGGCGCUCUGACAUGGUACCACACUGCUGCAUGUGGAGGUUCAGGGUCUGGGAAGAGCUCCAGGGUACAAAAGGGAAUAUGGAAAACUGACCAGCUAAGAAUACCAGCACAGCCGGUGCCUUACAUUUUCUCCGGUUUUAUUGGGGUGUUUGGGGGUGGGUUUGUUUGUUUAUUUGUUUGCUUUGCGUUGGGGAUUUUAUGAAACAGAAUCUCAUGGCUGGUCUUGAAUGCCUGAUCUUCCUGCCUCUGCCUCCCAGGUGCUGAGAUUAGACACCAUGCCCGGCUUUGGUACUUUGUGGUUUUGCUGUGGUUUUGUUUGUCUUGUGCUUCUUUACUAACUAUCAUUUGGAGGUUGUCAAAAGCCUCCAUGGCCGUGUGUUUCCCCUCUGCCCUCAGCUAAGCACAAGAGAGACCUGCAGAAUGCAAGACCUUGAGAAGUUAAACCAUGUGGGGAAGCCCGUGGUUUUCUGUGCUGAGUGGUGUCUGAGCUGAUGACAGGUGACAGUGCUGAGGCCACACCGACAGGGACAGGGUCCGAGGAACGGCCCUCUCCUCAGUCCCUUCUCACUUUAGCAUCCGAGUUUGUCCUUAGUUCUCAUUCUUCAUCCAGUUGCUCCUCAGCUUUUGUAGGGCAUCCAGAAUUCAAGCCAUGGCUGGGAGAGAGAAAGCCAUGUCCUGCCAAGCACGGUGCCCCUGCCUAUGACUUCAGCUAUUCUGGAGAUGGAAGCAGGAGAGUCAGCUGAGCCUGGGGAUUUGGUACUAGUCUGGCAAAAGAGACCCUGAGAGGGAGUGGGGCUGUCCCAAAGCAAUCGGCCUUCUAGCAGUAAUGACUAUCUGGAGUAUUCUCUUCCCAUCUCCCACGAGCACCAGACACAUGCCAGUCUCACUGGCCAGUAGAAAUGGAGAACUGAGACCCUUAGAGACAAACCCACUCACCAAAUCUAGCAGUUUCUAAGUAUCCCAGUUAGAGAUGCACCACUACCAACACAAAUGAAAGCGGGAACCACCAGCCAUCUGAAGAGAAGUGUUCCCAGCACCCACUUACGGCCCUGGACAUCUAGCCCUCUGAUUGAGGUUGGAGUUCUGGGACACCCUGAGUAGCUCACUGACUAUCACUACAUUAGUUGAAUGCACUUGAUACAUUGUGGCCUCCUUUCUGUCAAGAGCACACUAGAUAGCACCAAGCACUGCCCAAGUGUGACAUACUAUUCGAGGUGAACAGAGCUCAUAAUGGAAGUGUAAGGUGUGCCGCUGUGUAAUAUUUCUAAUAAAUAUAUUUUGUUUCUGCC